UGGGGAAUUUUGGACAAUGGGGGCAACCCUGAUCCAGCAAUGCCGCGUGUGUGAAGAAGGCCUGCGGGUUGUAAAGCACUUUAGGGGUGGAGAAAGGCUGACUGGCGAAUAACCAGUUGGAUUGAUGGUACACCCAGAAUAAGCACCGGCUAACUCUGUGCCAGCAGCCGCGGUAAUACAGAGGGUGCAAGCGUUAAUCGGAAUGACUGGGCGUAAAGGGCAUGUAGGUGGAUGAUUGCGUUUGAUGUGAAAUCCCUGGGCUUAACCUGGGAAUGGCGUUGAAUACGGGUCAUCUAGAGUGAGACAGAGGGCUGUGGAAUUUCCGGUGUAGCAGUGAAAUGCGUAGAGAUCGGAAAGAACACCAGUGGCGAAGGCGGCAGCCUGGGUCGACACUGACACU
This 400-nucleotide ribosomal RNA is filed under the name uncultured bacterium. RNAcentral describes it as "bacterial SSU rRNA". It matches the Rfam family "Bacterial small subunit ribosomal RNA", at positions 355 to 747 of the family's 1533-position model. The record is from RNAcentral.